Molecule: ribosomal RNA, 998 nt
Filed under: uncultured bacterium
Lineage: Bacteria
Description: bacterial SSU rRNA
Rfam family: Bacterial small subunit ribosomal RNA
Source: RNAcentral
GGGGAAUAUUGGGCAAUGGGGGGAACCCUGACCCAGCAACGCCGCGUGGAGGAAGAAGGUUUUCGGAUCGUAAACUCCUGUCCUUGGAGACGAGUAGAAGACGGUAUCCAAGGAGGAAGCCCCGGCUAACUACGUGCCAGCAGCCGCGGUAAUACGUAGGGGGCAAGCGUUGUCCGGAAUAAUUGGGCGUAAAGGGAGCGCAGGCGGACCGGCAAGUUGGAAGUGAAAACUAUGGGCUCAACCCAUAAAUUGCUUUCAAAACUGCUGGCCUUGAGUAGUGCAGAGGUAGGUGGAAUUCCCGGUGUAGCGGUGGAAUGCGUAGAUAUCGGGAGGAACACCAGUGGCGAAGGCGACCUACUGGGCACCAACUGACGCUGAGGCUCGAAAGCAUGGGUAGCAAACAGGAUUAGAUACCCUGGUAGUCCAUGCCGUAAACGAUGAUUACUAGGUGUUGGAGGAUUGACCCCUUCAGUGCCGCAGUUAACACAAUAAGUAAUCCACCUGGGGAGUACGACCGCAAGGUUGAAACUCAAAGGAAUUGACGGGGGCCCGCACAAGCAGUGGAGUAUGUGGUUUAAUUCGAAGCAACGCGAAGAACCUUACCAGGUCUUGACAUCCGAUGCAUAGCUUAGAGAUAAGUGAAGUCCUUCGGGACAUCGAGACAGGUGGUGCAUGGUUGUCGUCAGCUCGUGUCGUGAGAUGUUGGGUUAAGUCCCGCAACGAGCGCAACCCUUAUUGCCAGUUACUACGCAAGAGGACUCUGGCGAGACUGCCGUUGACAAAACGGAGGAAGGUGGGGAUGACGUCAAAUCAUCAUGCCCUUUAUGACCUGGGCUACACACGUACUACAAUGGCGUUUAACAAAGAGAAGCAAGACCGCGAGGUGGAGCAAAACUCAAAAACAACGUCUCAGUUCAGAUUGCAGGCUGCAACUCGCCUGCAUGAAGUCGGAAUUGCUAGUAAUCGCGGAUCAGCAUGCCGCGGUGAAUACGUUCCCG